This 135-nucleotide small nucleolar RNA is filed under the name Biomphalaria glabrata. RNAcentral's name for it is "U8 small nucleolar RNA". It matches the Rfam family "U8 small nucleolar RNA". Rfam says of the family: U8 is a member of the C/D class of snoRNA which contain the C (UGAUGA) and D (CUGA) box motifs. U8 is the RNA component of a small complex (the U8 snoRNP) which is required for accumulation of mature large subunit ribosomal RNAs, 5.8S and 28S rRNAs. Lineage: Eukaryota; Metazoa; Mollusca; Gastropoda; Planorbidae. The record is from Rfam by way of RNAcentral.
UCAUCUAGUAGGUAAUUCUGAUCUGUAAGUCCACUGGACUUCAGAAAAGAAUUGUGAUGAUCGCGGAACAUGACUUUAUGUGAGUUAAAUUCCGCAAGGGGAGAGAGCUAACGACACUCUUCUCUUAACUCUGAU